AUUUUGGCUGUGAAGAGGAAUAGUAAUUACAGAAGAGAUUCUACAGAGAGGGGAUACGGCGGCUGAGAGAUCCCUGAACCACCUGUGACGAACCUACCUUGGAGCCGCUGUGUGAAAAUACAGCGUGGCGCCAGCGUUAAUGGCGAUGAGAGAGAACUGCAGAAGGGCUGCAGUUAACUAGGGUGGUACCGCCGAGCUUUUCGGUCCCUUUU
RNAcentral lists this non-coding RNA (212 nucleotides) under Dorea sp. RNAcentral's name for it is "T-box sequence". It matches the Rfam family "T-box leader". From Rfam's summary of the family: Uncharged tRNA acts as the effector for transcription antitermination of genes in the T-box leader family. T-boxes are found upstream of many aminoacyl-tRNA synthetase genes and some amino acid biosynthetic genes usually in Gram-positive bacteria. The anticodon of a specific tRNA base pairs to a specifier sequence within the T-box motif, and the NCCA acceptor tail of the tRNA base pairs to a conserved bulge in the T-box antiterminator hairpin. Lineage: Bacteria; Bacillati; Bacillota; Clostridia; Lachnospirales; Lachnospiraceae. The record is from RNAcentral.